CCUUGCCCCUGGUAAAAUGAAAGUCCAGCAACAGUCAAUUUUCAUUUUCUAAGGAUGCAGAGGCUAUGUAGGGGCACUUUUCCUACCUUGCUGGCGCCAUCCCCCAUACCUGGAAUUGGUCCUAUACAUUGAUAUGUCACUAACCAACCAAACCUUCCUGCACUGACAUGAAAGAGAAAACAUUGUCUAAGGCUUGUCAGUUCCUUCCCCUUUUUGUACCUCUCUUCCCCUCUUUCCCUAUAUUUGUUCCUUCCAAAAACCUUUACUGGUCUCUUCCUAUGAGUGAAGCCCUAUGCUAGCAGCUAGAAUUAUAAAGAUGCCAUCCCCACCCUCUUUAAAUGCACAUUCUAGCGCUUUCUGCCUUGAACAAAUAAGACCAAUCAAGUACCACAUGUUCAUAGACUUGUUCAGGAUUUUUGGAUUUCUGCCUUUGUUUAAUAUGGAGAAUAUGAGUUCAUUUGUUCUUCAUCUCCUACCAGCAACUUAAUUAAAGAAAUUUAGCUUCAAGGGAAAAAAUUGUCUUAAAGAACUAUAAAAUAACCAGCCUAACCUGAGGUCUCCAACAGAGUUCUUCAUCCACAUUAUAUUUGUUUAUUAAUUUUAAAAUUUCUAAAAAUUUAAAAUGUUUAUAGACUCACAGGAAGUUGUGAACCUAAUUAAUGAGUUCCUUAUGUCCAACAUCCCCAAAGUGGAUGACUGCAGUACAAUAUCCAAACCAGGAAACUGAUAUUGAUAUUGAUAUUGAUAUUGAUAGUAGACUACAGACCGUAUUCAGUUUUCAGCAGUAUUUACAUGCUCUAAUUUUGGGUGGGUGUAUAGUUCUAUGCAAUUUGACCCCAUGUAUAGAUUAUACAACCACCACAAUAAUCAGGAUACUGAACUAUUUCAUUACCACAAAGGAACUCCUUUGUGCUACCUCUUUAUAGUCAUACCUACCUAACAUGUCCGUGUCCCCUGAUGACCAUUAAUCUGCUCUCCAUCUCCAUAAUUUUGUCAUUUGAGGAUAUUAUAUAAAUGGAAUCAAAGACAAUGCAAUCUUUUGAGAUCAUCUUUUAUCACUACCUACAAUACCCUUAGGAUCCUUCCAAGUUGCAUGUAUCAAUAGCUCACUCCUAUAGACUACUGAGUAAUACAAUAUUAUAGGAAUGGACCAGUCUCUGUAGCCAUUCACCC
Molecule: long non-coding RNA, 1173 nt
Filed under: Marmota monax (woodchuck)
Lineage: Eukaryota; Metazoa; Chordata; Mammalia; Rodentia; Sciuridae
Source: RNAcentral